CACGUAGGGGGCAAGCGUUGUCCGGAUUUAUUGGGCGUAAAGAGCUCGUAGGCGGUUCGAUAAGUCGGGUGUGAAACCUCCAGGCUCAACCUGGAGACGCCACCCGAUACUGUCGUGACUAGAGUCCAGUAGGGGAGCGUGGAAUUCCUGGUGUAGCGGUGAGAUGCGCAGAUAUCAGGAGGAACACCGAUGGCGAAGGCAGGUCUCUGGGCCACUACUGACGCUGAGAAGCGAAAGCAUGGGGAGCGAACAGG
Molecule: ribosomal RNA, 254 nt
Filed under: uncultured bacterium
Lineage: Bacteria
Description: partial 16S ribosomal RNA
Rfam family: Bacterial small subunit ribosomal RNA
Source: RNAcentral